Molecule: ribosomal RNA, 468 nt
Filed under: uncultured bacterium
Lineage: Bacteria
Description: partial 16S ribosomal RNA
Rfam family: Bacterial small subunit ribosomal RNA
Source: RNAcentral
GACGAACGCUGGCGGCGUGCUUAACACAUGCAAGUCGAACGGAAAGGCCCUGCUUUUGUGGGGUGCUCGAGUGGCGAACGGGUGAGUAACACGUGAGUAACCUGCCCUUGUCUUUGGGAUAACUUCAGGAAACUGGGGCUAAUACCGGAUAGGAGCUCCUGCUGCAUGGUGGGGGUUGGAAAGAUUCGGCGGUUGGGGAUGGACUCGCGGCUUAUCCGCUUGUUGGUGGGGUAGUGGCUUACCAAGGCUUUGACGGGUAGCCGGCCUGAGAGGGUGACCGGCCACAUUGGGACUGAGAUACGGACCAGACUCCUACGGGAGGCAGCAGUGGGGAAUAUUGCACAAUGGGCGGAAGCCUGAGGCAGCAACGCCGCGUGCGGGAUGACGGCCUUCGGGUUGUAAACCGCUUUCGCCUGUGACGAAGCGUGAGUGACGGUAAUGGGUAAAGAAGCACCGGCUAACUACGUG